GAGGGUAUAGCUCGGUGGUAGAGUGUGUGCUUAGCAUGCACGAGGUUCUGGCUUCAAUCCCCAGUACCUUCA
This is a transfer RNA of Camelus ferus (Wild Bactrian camel), 72 nucleotides long. It matches the Rfam family "tRNA". From Rfam's summary of the family: Transfer RNA (tRNA) molecules are approximately 80 nucleotides in length. Their secondary structure includes four short double-helical elements and three loops (D, anti-codon, and T loops). Further hydrogen bonds mediate the characteristic L-shaped molecular structure. tRNAs have two regions of fundamental functional importance: the anti-codon, which is responsible for specific mRNA codon recognition, and the 3' end, to which the tRNAs corresponding amino acid is attached (by aminoacyl-tRNA synthetases). tRNAs cope with the degeneracy of the genetic code in two manners: having more than one tRNA (with a specific anti-codon) for a particular amino acid; and 'wobble' base-pairing, i.e. permitting non-standard base-pairing at the 3rd anti-codon position. NCBI's taxonomy places the organism in Eukaryota, Metazoa, Chordata, Mammalia, Artiodactyla, Camelidae. The record is from Rfam.